Molecule: ribosomal RNA, 327 nt
Filed under: uncultured eukaryote
Lineage: Eukaryota
Description: partial 18S ribosomal RNA
Rfam family: Eukaryotic small subunit ribosomal RNA
Source: RNAcentral
CCCUUAGAUGUUCUGGGCCGCACGCGCGCUACACUGACGAAUGCAACGAGCUUAUAACCUUGGCCGAAAGGUCUGGGUAAUCUCCAAAUUUCGUCGUGAUGGGGAUAGAUUAUUGCAAUUAUUAAUCUUCAACGAGGAAUGCCUAGUAAGCGCAAGUCAUCAGCUUGCGUUGAUUACGUCCCUGCCCUUUGUACACACCGCCCGUCGCUCCUACCGAUUGAAUGGUCCGGUGAAGCGAUCGGACCGCGGCCUCUUGACGGUUCGCUGUCGAUUGGCUGUGGGAAGUUCGUUAAACCUUAUCAUUUAGAGGAAGGAGAAGUCGUAACA